AAAGGGCCGCGGGCGGCGGGCAGUGGUGUCCCAGUCUCCCGGUGCUUCCCUCAGGCUGAGGCGCCCGGCCUCCCGCCCGCCGCGCUCCAGAUGAAGUGUGAGCACUGCACGCGCAAGGAAUGUAGUAAGAAAACAAAAACUGAUGACCAAGAGAAUGUGUCAGCCGAUGCACCGAGUCCAGCCCAGGAAAAUGGAGAGAAGGGAGAAUUCCACAAGUUGGCUGAUGCCAAGAUAUUUUUGAGCGACUGCCUGGCAUGUGACAGCUGUGUGACUGCAGAGGAAGGAGUCCAACUUUCCCAGCAAAAUGCCAAGGAUUUCUUCCGCGUUCUGAACCUUAACAAGAAAUGUGAUACCUCAAAGCACAAAGUGCUGGUAGUGUCUGUGUGUCCUCAAUCUUUGCCUUAUUUUGCUGCUAAAUUCAACCUCAGUGUAACUGAUGCAUCCAGAAGACUCUGUGGUUUCCUCAAAAGUCUUGGGGUGCACUAUGUAUUUGACACGACAAUAGCUGCAGAUUUUAGUAUCCUGGAGAGUCAAAAAGAAUUCGUGCGUCGCUAUCGCCAGCACAGUGAGGAGGAACGCACCCUGCCCAUGCUGACCUCUGCCUGUCCUGGCUGGGUCCGAUACGCCGAGCGGGUGCUGGGUCGCCCCAUCACUGCCCACCUCUGCACCGCCAAGUCCCCCCAGCAGGUCAUGGGCUCUUUGGUGAAGGAUUAUUUCGCCAGACAGCAG
This 729-nucleotide small RNA is filed under the name Pan troglodytes (chimpanzee). Its description in RNAcentral is "processed transcript". The record is from RNAcentral. Lineage: Eukaryota; Metazoa; Chordata; Mammalia; Primates; Hominidae.